AUUGAACGCUGGCGGAAUGCUUUACACAUGCAAGUCGAACGGCAGCACGGACUUCGGUCUGGUGGCGAGUGGCGAACGGGUGAGUAAUGUAUCGGAACGUGCCCAGUCGUGGGGGAUAACGUAGUGAAAAUUACGCUAUACCGCAUACGAUCUAUGGAUGAAAGCGGGGGAUCGCAAGAUCCCGCGCGAUUGGAGCGGCCGAUAUCAGAUUAGGUAGUUGGUGGGGUAAAGGCCCACCAAGCCAACGAUCUGUAGCUGGUCUGAGAGGACGACCAGCCACACUGGAACUGAGACACGGUCCAGACUCCUACGGGAGGCAGCAGUGGGGAAUUUUGGACAAUGGGCGAAAGCCUGAUCCAGCCAUUCCGCGUGCAGGAUGAAGGCCCUCGGGUUGUAAACUGCUUUUGUACAGAACGAAAAGGUUUCUACUAAUACUAGGAGCUCAUGACGGUACUGUAAGAAUAAGCACCGGCUAACUACGUGCCAGCCGCCGCGGUAA
Molecule: ribosomal RNA, 499 nt
Filed under: uncultured bacterium
Lineage: Bacteria
Description: partial 16S ribosomal RNA
Rfam family: Bacterial small subunit ribosomal RNA
Source: RNAcentral